AUGCAGACCCUCUUCUGCAACAUCCGCGGCUUCGGCCAAGAUGGCCGUCGCCGCCAACUCAUCGAGUACAUGCGAGAUGAGCGGAUAGACAUCGUGGCAAUCCAAGAAACCAUGCGCACAGAGUUCUCCUUGUCUGAGCUUGAGCGAUUGAGCACCCACCUAUUUGCUUGGCAUUGGCUCCCUUCAAGUGGGAUCGCCCGGCACUCGGGUGGCAUCCUGCUAGGUGUUAAGGAUGCCACCUUUGAGGUGGGUGGUAUGGAUAGGGGUGAGUUCUACGUCAGUAUGGAGCUGUUCGAACGUGCUCUCAACUUCAAGUGGGAGAUCAUUAUCGUCUAUGGCCCCGCUGACCACCGCCGAUCUGAGUCCUUCCUUGAUGAACUUAAGACGAAGGUGUCGGCCGCGCGUCUGCCCGUAGUAGUGGGUGGCGACUUCAACCUCCUCCGAUUUGCGGAGGAUAAGAGCAACGAUCUAGUAAACUACCCUCGGAUGCAAAUGUUCAAUGAUUGCAUCGCUGAGCUCGGUCUCCGGGAAUUAGAUAGGGUUGGUGCCAGAUUCACCUGGACCAACCGCCAGGCGGACCCGACCCGCUCCGUUCUGGAUCGCGUCUUGGUCUUGCCGGAGUGGGAGCUUCGCUGCCCCCUCGCCUCCCUCCAAGCCAUCACCCGGAUUGGCUCGGACCAUGUCCCUCUGCUCAUGUCUUCUCAGGACGACUGCCCGCCCCCUACGCCUAGGUUUCGCCGAGGCCGUUCGUGA
Molecule: ribosomal RNA, 753 nt
Filed under: Triticum aestivum (bread wheat)
Lineage: Eukaryota; Viridiplantae; Streptophyta; Magnoliopsida; Poales; Poaceae
Description: partial small subunit ribosomal RNA
Source: RNAcentral